Molecule: long non-coding RNA, 1875 nt
Organism: Salvator merianae (Argentine black and white tegu)
Lineage: Eukaryota; Metazoa; Chordata; Lepidosauria; Squamata; Teiidae
Source: Ensembl
AGGUUGCCAUACCCCUUGGGAUCUUACUAGGUGCCUUUUUCUGCUCACAUGGACACAGCCAAAGAAAACCAAAAGUUUGGGUCAUCGAUCCUUCUUUCUGGGGGUUAUGGCUAAAGUGUACUAGCCUGCAGCUUAAAGGACCCUACUUUGAAAUGGGUCUGUACGUAGGAACACAGUUAAGUAAAGCCUAGAAGAGGUUUCAUGCCCAGAUACCCGGGCCUUGGGAUUUCUCAGAGCAGUGCCAGGAUCUCCCAACUUAGUGGCAUGCAUGCAUGUGCUGCCUCUGGCUAGUAUUUGGUCAUGACAUCACCAGGCUGGCUUCAGGCCCUGUCUAGAUGUAGCCUUAGACAUAUGGUAGUAUUACACUGAGAAUGGCUGUAGCUCAGUGGUAGAACAAACUGCCUGGAAAGCAGAGAGUUUGUGGUUCGAUCCCCAAAAGUAGGCAAUUGCAAGCGACUUCUAUAUCUCUGCCAAGAAAACUGCAUGGAGGUUCCCAUGCAGUCAACCAGGAGUCAACCAUGACUUGGGGGUACCCAACUGUUGCAACCAUGUUGCUACUAGUUCAUGUGCAGGGCAGCUUGCCUGCCUGUAACACGUGUACAGAGAAGGAAGCGGCCAUUUGCUGAUACCUGCGGGUAAAUUUCCACUGCUUGUAAACAACCACAUGUGGCCUUGAGCACCUCCUUUUACUCUGCCUUUCUAGAUGANGCUUAACCCUUGAGACACUCUGUAACUUUUGAUUGGUCAUUUUGAAUACUGCUUGUUAUGCUGUAACUUUGUAUUGGGUUUAAUUAGUCCUGUGACUAAUGACACCAUAAAGACCCUCCUCCCUUUGUUUGUACUCAAUAAAAGAGCUUCCCUGACUUUGGUCGGGGUCGUCUCCCCUCGAGAAAGCCUGGAGUCUGCUCUUACUUUUUCGAUGCCAAGAAACCCCCGAGCGACCCACUAGAAGUGGGAGGAAUUCCCCCAACUGGUGCCCCUCGACGUGAUCUAGCGGAAAGGACACGUCUCUUGGUACGUCCUUUACUCACCGACGGAGAAGACGUCUGCUGCACCAGGGCCGGCCGUGAGCGUACGGAGCACCCAUUUUUUGUACUAAAGAUGGUAGCCAAAUNGCUUGGAAGUUCUGUGAUGGCUGAAUAUGAUUCCCUUUCCUCCUGUGAACGGAGAAUGCUGACAUGUUUGAAUCACAUAACUUGUUAUGAGGCCUAAGUCAACAACCUGUGCCAAGUAUGCAACUGAGCCUACACUGCAGGGAGUGAGCUGUUUCAUUCCUAAAAGGAAACUGUAUCUAGGAGUCAUUGGACUUCCACAAGUAAAGAACUCUAAUCAAAGCUUACAUCCACUGAUUUAAGAGAAGAUUUUGAACAUUCUUAACCUGCAUCCAGAGAUCAUCUGAACCUUGAAGAUCAAGUACAGAAGAUUGUAUCUGCAAAGUCAUUUGUCUUUUCAAAGUUGUUGUUAUUCUAAUAUUGAAAUGCAUCUUGUUUUGAAUAUUGAACUCCCAUUGGUGGAGACCUAUGUUUUUUAUGCUUUUGAAAUGAAUCUUACAUUUUGAUUUAGAGAAUUAUAUUCUUAAAGCAGGGAUCUGCAUUGUGCAGAACUAUCUAUAAGUGCCAAGAGUGUGGAAAUAAUUAUUCAUGAACGUUUAAGGUUAAAGGUAUCAAUUGUUUNAACCAUGCUCUUGCUUUCAAAUCGAUUAUUCUUCUAUUACUUUUUCUGGGUCUUUUCUUUAUUUUCCUAGAUGAAUCCUUAGGUAACCCUUGUGUAGAAAUUACAAUGUUGCUUCUGUUUCAUAGAAUCCCUUCCUUUCUGGUUUAAGAAUAAGGUUGAAAGAUGGUAUCCCGAGGAACGUAAUCCUCUGGCGGAGGAUAG